UUUAAGAAAUAGUUCUAGAUCACGUUAUGGGACGUCCCAAAUUGAGUAGGCUAGGUCUACUAUUAAAGGAGGGAGUACACUUCUUUCCCCACAGAUUAAAUGUUGAAGUGCUCUGCUGGAUUUAGACGAAAAGUGUGUUUCUGUGGACAUUGCUUUAAUCUUGGAUCUUAAAGCUAAUAAUACGGUGCUUAUUCUUUAUUUACUGCAGUUUGUUUGGGAAAACACAGAAAAGAAGGGAACACUAGAAGAGACAAAUGGAGAGGACGAGGGAUGAACAUUCACAAGCCAGCGGAUCAAAACCAGCAAAUGUGGAGAAUCUUGUUAAAAGGAGGAGUAUGAGUCAACCUCCUCUGGAUCUGAAAUUCUCUCAUGAUGCAGACAGACCAGAGAGUUAUCUCGAUGUAUCAGAAUCAAAGACGAGCAGAUCAUCUGAACACCAACCAGACAAAACUCUGUGAAUCGCUCAUGUUUCUUCAGAUGGAGCUGAAAUAGUUAAUUGUUUCCAGUCCUGGCUUUAUCCAAUCAGGAGCU
Long non-coding RNA from Carassius auratus (goldfish), 531 nucleotides. RefSeq lists it as uncharacterized. NCBI's taxonomy places the organism in Eukaryota, Metazoa, Chordata, Actinopteri, Cypriniformes, Cyprinidae. The transcript is spliced from 4 exons. The record is from RefSeq and is a predicted model, not a curated record.